UGGUCAGGGAUGAAAUCAUAAGGAGUUGAUUUCUUAAGCUAAAUCAGUUCCUGGGUGGAAGCCGCAAGAUCAGAUGAGCCGGUUCAUUGGUCUGGGUGGAACCAGCUAAUCCAUCAAGUGCAACGCCUACAAAAUAUCUCAAGCACAGAUCUUAGGAGCAGUUUAGGGAGAGUCAGAAUCUUGUAGCCUCCAGCUGCAGUCCUAAACCAUGAUUCCUAAUCCUGUGGCUGCUGAUAGUCCCACAAAGACAAUCUAGUCCUCAGGCAAGAAGGAGGUCUGCUUUGGGAAAGAACUGUUACUGUCCUUGUUUAAACUAUCAACUAUAAAGUCCAAAAGGGAGUGUGGUUUCAAAGGCAAGGCCUUCCCAGUGCCAUACCUCCACUUACUUCUCCAUCCAGGAGCUUAGAGGUCUUUGUUUAACUUUCACGCAUGCGGGAAGAUGGACUGCCCAGAGAUGAUGAUACGGAGGCCGAGAAAUUCAGAGAAUUUUCUAACAUUGAUAUAGGACCAACACCUCUGGCACAGACUAUCCAGGAAGGGCCACUGUGUUGCUCAGCUCUGCAAGGGACUACUCAAGUUGUGUGCUAUGUAUGUGGCUGGUACCCUUUGCAACAUAAUUCCAGACAUGGUUUUAUGCACAGGCUCAAUUUCUUACCAAUAUUUCUGAGUCAAAAUUCAGGACCUACAGAAGUGUCUCUGAAGGCAGGUAAACAUCAAAAAGCCAGUUACAUUCUUCCAAAAGUACCUAUUCUUGUAUUUAACGUGACCUAGUUCAAAUUUUCUAUCAUUGUCAGGUUUUGUCCACUCAAAAUAUCACUAUAAAGUAUAGCAUCUAAUUAUUUUAUUAUUUGUUGCUAA
This is a long non-coding RNA of Callithrix jacchus (white-tufted-ear marmoset), 858 nucleotides long. RefSeq lists it as uncharacterized. NCBI's taxonomy places the organism in Eukaryota, Metazoa, Chordata, Mammalia, Primates, Cebidae. The record is from RefSeq and is a predicted model, not a curated record.